UCAAGUGUUCUCCCAACUGAGAAUUGGUGACGCCAGAUGAUCUCAACUGGUAUGAGGUCUAGUUGUGUGGCUUUACUUUCUUUAGCUUCUCUCUGCUGUUGAAUUUACUUUCCUGAUUAAGUCGUUUCUGUUUCUUCUAAUCCAUUUGCUGCAAAAAGUAUUGAAUAGUUGAAUUCUGCAUAGAUAACUAAACUCUGAACUCGAGAUAGAAAUAAAACGUGAUAUACCCGGAAUACACACUAUAAAAAUGCUCACCUGAAGAAGCAUAGUAGCAUCUGUAAAAGGAUCUAUUCAUGAACCGUCAGUUUUCUUCUGUACAUUGUAGAUAUAUCAGCCAACAAAACAUUGAACUGUCACCAAAACAACUUCCAACAUUCUUCCUGGAAAGACUAAUCCUCUUUCUCCUCUAUGGAGUCAAAACCCCUUUUGUGUCAUUGCCAUUUCCUCUUCAACGGCCAACAAAUGAAUAUAUAAGGAAAAUGUAUACAUGUUGUUGUUACCUCGCGUCUUUGAUGAUCCACGUAGUUGCCAGAUGGAUGGACGCGUGAUUUCAACCCAUAAAGGUUCUUGAUCCAGCCGUUAUACCUGCAAGAAGGCAUCCGGACAGGGUGUCCGGACGCACCCUCCGAUGAUCUUGUUAGCCAUGGUUAGAGAGAGAUAUAUAAAUCAGUUGGCCUUUUACUAGGUAUCAGGAGGUUACCAGGGGAUCCCCCUCUUCUUCGUAUGAAGGCUUAUAUAUACAGCUUCGGGGGUACUGUUCUUCUCAUUAAUGGUGAGGAGAUAUUUUAUGUUGUUAUGAUGAUAAUAGGCGUUAGUAGGAGCAUCAUCACCCUACGAGCGGCUGUCAGAAACCAUGGUAGGUGAUGCGGCUGUCAGAGAUCGUGAGAAGUGACUUGCUGUCAUUUCAUCUUGUCUUCUCACUCUGAAGGUGGCAGGAUGUGGGCCAUGGUUGUUUGCUGUGAUAGCGUGUAAGACUCGCUUUACUUUAAUUGAUGACCCGGACGAUUAUAUCCGGAUGGCACAUGCUGAUUACCCGGAUGUAUUGUGGAGCGGAUGCAUUAUGAAGGUUGUCUGGAUAUCUGUGCUCUGCCAGCGACGUUUGCUCUUCCUUUGGAUAGGAGAAGUUGAAACGUCAUUUGCCUUUCCUUGAGACGGUCCGGGUAGGAAAACUGUAUCAUGCGUAUCCUUAGGGGAAUCCGGAUGAUGAUGGUCCGGCUGAUAACACGUGCCACGUGUCAUUGUGAGAUGCGUGCCACGUGUUUCCCAGAGGGAGGGGUCCCUACACAUGUCAUUUCAUUUUCUGCUUUGCCCUGUCUGCAUGAAGACCCAUGGUGGCCUUCUUGCAUUAGAUAACAAUGUGGCAUCCUUGGUUUGUCCCAUUUGAUCUUAAAGUCACAGUACGUUCAGAAAACAUUUUUAGCAUUGAAAACUCUUUCAAGAAACAUUUGUCUUAAAAACGUUUAGAGACAACACUUCAAUGAAAAACAUUAUCAAAUGCACUCUAAUCAAAAUAAAAAUGCAUUUGAUAAUAUUUCUACCCGAAACACUUUGAAAGUAUUUUCUAACUAAUUUUUCAACUUUUGAAAAGUACUUCUCAAAUUUACGAACUAUUGAUUUUUCCUCAAAAACAAUUUUUAUGGUGAAAAUAGUUUUUAAAAGCACUCUGAGCCAAGUCGAUUCUUAUUCAGUUAGAGGAAGGCGUCAACCAUUUUUUUAUUUUGGUUCACUUAGAAGGAAAGAAAAUUAUAACUGAGGUUUUCGCCUCCAUGUUCUUUAGCAAUAAGCAGACAAUUUAUACUCCACUCUGUGUCAGCAUAUUUAAUCUGCAGUAGUUUCAAUUGAUCAGAAAUAAGCUCUGAAUUUAGUUUUGGAAGUGGAAAUUCAUGUUUAAAGAUUAGGUAUUUGCUUUUAGGUUAGAUACGUCUUCAAAAAAGAAUGCCGAAGAUUCAAGCCACAAGAGACAAAAGGAUGAAACGCCUAGAUUCUGUUUUGUUAGAGAGAAAGAUAUCAAAAAAGACAACCCUUUAUUUAGACGCUGUAACAACUGCUUGUUGGCUAUCUACUUCUUUAGGGAAUGUGAAGAAACGGAAAAUAAAUCAACACCUAUAACCAGCUCAUCUUGCAUUAUUAUUUCUUUGAACAACUUAUAUAGAAUAUUUUGUAGGUGGAACAGUGGAAAUGGAUAAGAACAAGGGGUAGUCAGUCAAUAAUGGAGAGUUUUUUUAUUCAUAAACCCUUUCAGACUUGCAAGCAAACCAAAGCAAUCCUUAUCUAGAAGAAAAUUUUAUUUAAAUUAAAGAAAAUUUUAUUCAAUGGGUACAUUUUUAAAAUAGGUAAAUGUUAUAUGUUUUAAUAUAUAUAAAUAAUAAUAAAAAUGUGUUUGAGGUGAAUGUAUUUUUUUUUUAUUUAAAAAUAAUACUAUGAAAAAUAAUAGGAAGAACUUACAUGUUUACGAUAUCCUUUAAGUCCUUACAUGGUUUGUGAUGAUGCAUAGGGUCAAGAUAGUGGACUAUCAUUUUCCUUGGCUCAAGCACUACCUAAAUAUAAACCCUUUUUGUCCUCAUAUCUAUUUCUAUUAACAAAAUAUAAAAACUUUCCAAAACUCAACUACUUAAAUAUAAAAACAAAAUCAAAUAAAAUAUCUAGCUAAUUGGAUUUUAGAAACUAAAUAAACUAUAAAUAAACUAAAUAAAAUAUAUAUGCCCAUGAAUUAAUUGAAGAGGAUAGAAAGACAUAGAGAGAACAUGGCUAUGGUUAUGAUUUCCAUCUUAUCAUUUCCUGUCAAUACCACACAUGCCCAUUUUAAGGUUGGACACUACUUUUGUUGCUAGACUUGGAAAGGGAACUUCAAAAUUGAAAACAUAAAUAAACCCUUAUGUAAAAAAAAAUAACAUUAAAAUAUAAUUGAGCAUUAAAAUAUUUACUCUCUUUCAUCACUUUCAUUUGAAUAUUAAUAAUCUCUUAUUGAGAUAGAUACUUACAAUUUAACAAAAUAGAAAUUCCUAAUAAUAAAAAAUAUAAAAUUUCGAUUUCUAUUAACAAAAUAUAAAAACUUUCCAAAACUCAACUUCUUAAAUAUAAAAAUAAAAUCAAAUAAAAUAUUUAGCUAAUUGGAUUUUAGAAACUAAAUAAACUAAAUAUAAAAACUAAAUAAAAUAUCUAUGCCCAUGAAUUAAUUGAAGAUGAUAGAAAGACAUAAAGAGAACAUGGUCAUGGUUAUGAUUUCCAUCUUAUCAUCUCCCGUCAAUACCACACAUGCCCAUUUUAAGGUUGGACACUACUUUUGUUGCUGGACUUGGAAAGGGAACUUCAAAAUUGAAAACAUAAAUAAACCCUUAUGUAAAAAAAAAAUAACAUUAAAAUAUAAUUGAGCAUUAAAAUAUUUACUCUCUUUCAUCACUUUCAUUUGAAUAUUAAUAAUCUCUUAUUGAGAUAGAUACUUACAAUUUAACAAAAUAGAAAUUCCUAAUAAUAAAAAAUAUAAAAAUUUCUAUUUCUAUUAACAAAAUAUAAAAACUUUCCAAAACUCAAAUACUUAAAUAUAAAAACAAAAUCAAAUAAAAUAUCUAACUAAUUGGAUUUUAGAAACUAAAUAAACUAUAAAUAAACUAAAUAAAAUAUCUAUGCUCAUGAAUUAAUUAAAGAGGAUAGAAAGACACAGAGAGAACAUGGUUAUGGUUAUGAUUUUCAUCUUAUCAUCUCCCGUCAAUACCACACAUGCCUUCCCGGAUUGGUCCUUUUGGGGUUGGAUACUCUCAACGAAAUUCUAUAUCUCAUUCCCACUUAGAUUCAAACAGAAAAAUCAUUCUUUUUUUUUUCCUCUCUUGUUUUUUAGAAAGGAUGAAGAUUAUGUGAUAGUAUAUCUUAAAAAAAUUUUGUACCUGUCAUUCUCACACAAAUACAUAUUAAAAAUCAUUCAUUUUUUCCUGUUUUUCACUUUUUUUUAAGGACUUGAUCAUGUGUUUGGUUUAGAUUAAAAAAAUCAAUUAAUCUAUAGUUUUUUCUUCCAUGCUGGAAGAUUAAACCUAAAUUUUUCUUCCCUACAACUCAAGAAAACACAAUUCACAAAAACCAUAAUACAAAGAUGUUGAAACAAUUAAUAUAAUGACAUUAAUAAAAGAAAAAAAAAAUGAUAGAUCCAAGAGAUUUUGGGUUACCUGAGAGUCCACAAAGUGAAGAAUGUCAGUUUUGAGCGUGUUGACUAUGAAUGGGUGAGAGAAAAGGUCGAAGAAGAUCAUGAUUUUAUAUAUAGGAUUUAUAUAUUGAGAUAUUUUGGAUUGUGGGUGAGAUAUGGAAACAAUGGGAUUUUUAUAUAGUAUCCAUCAUUAUUAAUUCUAAAAGUGGGCUCAUUAAGUUAUAAUACUUAAAAAAAUUUAUUUUAUAUGAUGUCACUUCCCAAAAAAUGACACUAUAAAUAUAAAAUUAAUAUCAUCUAACUACCUCAAUUGAAGAUUUUUUAUAUGAUGUGUCACCUUUAUUAAUUAUAAACCCUAUGGUGUCAUUAUUUUAAAAGUGACACCGUAAAUAGUGACACCAUAAACUAUUCUUGUAGUAGUGAUGUUAUUUCAGUUCUUUCAACUUAAAAAGCAAAAAUUGCUUCUUAAAAUGGGAGACACUAGCAGUCAUUCUUCCCUUGUGCUCCAUUGUCUUACCAAACUGAGAGUGUUUGGUUGUCGAGAAAAUCUCAUUUUCUUCCUAUUUUCCAAGCUAUUUUCAAUGGAUUUUCUUGAGAAAAAAUGGAUUGAUUCAUUCAUCAUUCAUCUCUCAAUUUCUGAUCUAUUUGAGUUUGGGUGAAAAAUCAUUUUCUUUUUAAUUAAACUUUAAGAAGAGAUCGAGAUUAAGCUUGAUUUGGAUGACAAGCAUGUUCUAGAAGAUGAAGGUAUGCAAUUGAAGUAAAAAGGUGUUAGUCAAGUAAUCCGUGAAGGAUUAAAAGACUUGAAUUAGAUAAAUCCUUGUAUACAUGAUUUGUUUUUCAUAGUAAAAUUUUUUAUCUAUUAUAAGUUCAUAAUUUUUUAUCUCUUCGAAAGCUUUUCACAUAAAUUCUGGCAUCAUCGUCUCUUUUUCUCUUAUUCUACUCCUUGAUUUAUUUUCACUUUUAGUUUACAUUUAUUACUUGAACAUAUAAGUUGAAUGGAAGAACAAUGAGUUAAAAUAGGUGUGAUCUUCUUUUGGAUAUCUUGAACAUAUUUUUUUUCUAUUUAUUUUGAUAUAGAUAUUCAAUAGAAAAUGAAAAUUGUGUUAGUGAAAAAUUGUUCUUAUUUUCGUACUUGUAUGUCUCUUUUACUCUUUGUUGGAAAGUAUUUAAAUAAAAAAAAUUAUGAAAAAAUCUAAAAUUAGAUAAUAAAUACUGGGAUCCUUUUGAAUUUGUUUAAAACCAAUGCUAUCAAUAAAAUUUUGUCACAUAUAAAAAAAUAAAAAAUAAAAAUCGCUCAUGCAUGCAAAAAAUAUUACUUGACAAUUAUUCUUGAGCUCGAUCUAUUCCUACCAUUUCUUUUUUUUCUCCUUUUUUCUUUUUUUUGAUAAAUUACUUUUUCCAGAAAAAUUGAGGUUGUCAACCAUUAAAGAAAUGUCAAAUAAAAUAUAUAUGUCUCCAUUGGAAGGACAUGCAGGAGAUAGGAUUUUCGCUUCCAAGUUCUCCAAUACAAAGCAGGCACGUUGCUAAGUUGUAGAUCAAUGCAUUGCCACUUUACACGCAAUGGAUCAUCAAAUCAAAAUACUUCUUUAUUCAAAAGAAAAAGUUAAAAGUGGGCUUACCUUCCACAUCUAUUAUUCUUCUUUUGCUGAUAAUAAUCAGCACAAAAAUGUUCAACUUGGACCUUUCUUUAUUCAAAAGAAAAAGAUGAAGGAAAAAAGAGAGUUGUGUCAUUGCUUUGGUGUGAGAGUUGGUGAUAAAACAUUGACAAGUCUUUUAGAUGACUUGGGUUUCUAGUCUUAGUCUCCGCCUUGUUUAUGAUGGUAGAGCCUUUACAAAGGAGCAGAAAAAAUAUUUCAAUUUCCUAUGUCUUAUAAAAUUCUAUAUAUACUACAUAAAUGAAGUCGAUUCUGACCAUUAAUUAACCACAUGAUAAAAAUAUAUUACAAAAAUAUACAAAAUAAAUUAUAAGAGAAUUAUAAAAAAAAAACUAUUUUAUUAAACUGAUUAAAAAAUUGAUUAUUUAAAUAAUUACAACAUAUUUUCAAAAAAAUUUAAAAGAGUUAAUUUACAUUAAAAAAAUAAAAUAAAAUUCAAAUAAAUGAUUUUAACUCAUUUAUUUAUAAAAAUAAUUACUGUUUCAACUUAUUUACAACAAAUGAUUUAAUUAAUUUUUAUUUACAUUUAAUUUUAUUUAAAAAAUGACUUUUAUGUAUUUUUAUUAAAAGAAAUGAUUGAAUAUGACUUUAUUUACAAAUAAAUGUUUCACUUUGAUUUUAUUUACAAAAAAAAUGGUUUUUAUUUCCUUUUGUUAAAAAAGAAUGAUUUUUAUAAGUUUAUUUAUAAAAGUGUUCCAACCAAAAUUUACUUGUAAGAAAAUAAUUUUUACAUAAUUAUUUAAAAUGAAAAUUAAAAGAAAAAUAAUGUAAAUAAUAAAAUAGUAUUACAAAGAUAUUUUUACUUUAAAUGUGAUAGAAUUUACAAAAUAAAUAAAUCUUUUAUUUAAUAAUAAUAUAAAAAAAUUUAUAUCAUAAACCUCUAAAUAAUAAAAUAUAAUUUUUAAAUUUAAACCUUAAUUUAUCAAAUGUAUUAUUAUAAUUGUUAGAAAAAUUAGGCUAGUCCAACCUAUGGUAAUCACCCUAGAAGGGGGGGUGAAUAAGGUGAUGAUCUCUUUUUGCAAAUUUAAACUAUAUGAAUGUAAGAGACAAUUAUAUGCAAGUAUAUAAUAAGCAAUAUAAAUACAAUUGCUUAUAAAUUAAAAGAGUAUGGAAGAGAGAAUGCAAACAUAAGAUUUUAUAGUGGUUCGGCGCAACCCGACCUACAUCCACUCUCCUCUAACUUCAAUCCCAAGCUUGAGGUUCCACUAAUUCAAGACUUUCAAACCAAACAUUCAAGCAAUACAAUUGGAUUAUGGUUCCAAUUCACCCUAUUAGACUUUUGGCUCCAAACAUCCUUUACACUUCCCAAGAGAUAUCUCACUCUUGAACAAUCCCUCAAGUGAUACCCCACACUUGAGAAACUUCCUCUCAAAGAUUUACAAAUAAAUGAUCUCACAAAAUCUUAGUAUAAAAACUUUAAGCUCAAAUGAUAUAAGAAAACUAGGAUUGAAUGGUGCACUAAAUAUAUGCAAGUUUUGAAACAAUGGUACACUCAAAAACACUCUUUCAAGGCUCAAAUAUAUUCAAGAAAGGUUUGAGAAGGUUAAGCUUUCAAAACAAUGAAGAUUGAAGCAUUUUUAUAGAAGAGAAAAGUCAAACUAGCUGUUUGGGAGUUCGACCGGUCGAGUUAGGGGUCGACCGGUUGACUAGCCGUUAGCAUUUAAUGCUUGGCAGGUGACCGUUGGGCCUCAACCGGACCUCGACCGGGAAGAGAAUCACCUCAACCGGGAAGAGAAUCACCUCAACCAGGAAGAGAAGGUCACUGGGAGAGAGAUAAACUUUUUGGCAUCCCUUAAUCGGUCUUUGACUAGACGAGCACAACUGGUUGAACUGGUUGAGCCAUUUUUUGGCUCAACAACCAACUUUUCAACUUAAAACCUUUUAAAACAAGUUUGAAAGACAUUUAACACAAGGUUUUAGUUGAAAAACAUGAAAUCAUCCAAUUCUUAAAAUAUUUAAAACAAGAUAACUCUUGAAUGAUUUUGAUGCAUAAGUAAAUAAUGUAAUAUAUGAAAAUCCUAGUGCACCAACAACCUUACAAAGAGAUCUUAUGAAGCUUAGGUCUUGAAAAACACUUCUCUUUGAGGUGGUCUUCUUCUUCAUGAUUUCUCAUUAGUUUGAUUUGUCUUUGUAAUUGUCACUUUGGAAAUCGUCUUGCCUAAUCACACUUAAAAUAUAAUCAUUAGUUCUAAACCUUAUUUUGUUAUCAUCAAAAUCAAGAUUAAUCAAACCUUGGUUUCACAAUAAUUAAUAUUUAAAAUCAUCAAUCAUAUUAUUUUUGGAAUAACAUUUUCAUAUUUGUCCAUUACAUAUUUUUGUUUUUAUUUAAUUUGUUAUAUUAACUAUAUAUUAUAUAUUAUCAUUUUAAGUUUAAUAAGUAAAAAAAAUAAUUAAAAUCAAUAAAUAUGGAGAAAUUAGAGAGUAAUAAAAAAUUAAAAUUAAAGAAGUUUUAUGAGAAAAUAUAUCAGCAUAUUAAAAAGAAUAUAAAGGAAAAAAAAAAUAGUAAGAAAAAUUAUAAUAGGUGACAAUAGAUUAUGGUGGAAGAAGGAGAGGAAAUGAAAAAAAGUUUUAAAAAAUAAGUGGUAAGUGAGAUAUAUUGAUGUGAAAAAAAUAAUAAAAAUAAAUGACACAUAUAUUUUUCAACAGGUAGUAUUAAAUUAAUGUGUACUUUGUCUUUUACUUUUAAGGGUAACUGUGAAAUGAAUUUGAAAAUACUAUUGAAGUGCACAAAUAAACAAUAUUUUUUCUCAUUUUAUACUAAAAUUGAAAAGUAAAAAGCAAAUUUCCAAAAUCUUAUAUUUUUUUUAGUUGAUAUAUGGUUACAUGAUUUUCCUAGUUUAUUUGGUUGUUCAGGCCCUUUUGUUCUAUCUAUUUGUGUGUUUUUCAAUGCGUGAUAUUUAUACUGUACGGAGAUUUUGAAUUGUAAGUGCACAUAGCCACAUUGCAUUCGUGUUUCUGUUUCUCUUAAUGUUGCCGAAGCACUGAAGCUUGCCUUAAUGAAAAUUAACAGCAUAUAUGGAGUAAUUAUAGCAUGCUCCUGGCACAGGGUCCUCCAAAGUUUGCAUGGCCCAACAACAAAGGAUUUUCAAUAGCUAUAUGGGCUUGUUUUGGUGAAGGAGCAGCAAAGGUGUAUAGUUUUCAACCCCAAGUCAACAAGUCUUUCUUUUCAUAUUAUUUUUAAUCUGCAUGAUUGCCCUCACUUUACUUUCAUCCUCAGAUGCUGAUAAACUUUGCUAUCCCGCUGUGAACAGCUGCAAUUCUCAAUGGUUUCCAUGGAGAAGCUUCACCGCCAAGACGUUCUUUUCACUCUCCUCCUCCUCAUCUACUCCUCAUCUAAUCUGCUCCUCGCUUCAGGCUACACUCUUCCAAAUAAGUACUUCAUCAACUGUGGUUCCAGCUCUAACGCCACAGUCGACCGCCGGAACUUUGUCGGAGAUGUGAACUCCAGCUCAUCCUAUUUCUCCGUGAGACCAAGCGAUGAUUUGAAGGAUGGCAACCCAGAAACCGGUACAUCUCCUCUCUACCGAACAGCUAGAAUUUUCAGAAAAGAAUCUUCGUAUGAGUUCCGAAUCACUGAAAAUGGCACCUACCUGGUACGUUUUCAUUUCUACCCUUUCUUGACGCCAACAAAUCUUACUGCUGCUCUCUUCAAUGUUCGGGUCACUGGGUAUUCAUUGCUGUCCAAUUUCAGAGUCCAGAACAGAAGUAACUCUCCUGUAAUUAAGGAAUUUGCAAUUCCCAUAGAGGUGGGAAACUUCACAAUCUACUUCACCCCUCAAAAAUCAUCUUUGGCUUUUGUAAACGCGGUAGAAGCGUUUCUUGCCCCUGAAAAGUUCGUUUCAAAUGAAUCGAGUCACAUUACUCCUGCGGGAAGUGACGGUAAUUACAGAGGUCUGGAAUCUCAGGCUUUACAAAUAAUCCUUAGGAUAAACGUUGGAGGCCUGAAAAUCCCACCAAAUAAUGAUACACUGUGGAGAAGUUGGACACCCGACGAUGAUUAUCUACUUCUCCCAGGUUCUGCCAAAAAUAGUGAGGCCUUCAAUAAUACGCCCAAGUACAAUCCUUCGGAAGCUACUAACUAUUCCGCCCCGGUUGAUGUCUACAAGACUGCCAAAGAACUUAAUUCAAGUUUCUUCAAUGUAACCUGGGGUUUUAGGGUGAAUAAGAAUUCUACCUACUUCGUGAGGGUGCAUUUCUGUGACAUAAUUAGCCAAGAUGAAGACGGUAUUGUGUUCAAUUUCUCCAUUUAUAGUCGGUUCAUUGAACUUAUAUAUUCAUAUGGCCCCACCUCCAAUAUCGGAACUCCAUUUUACAAGGAUUAUGUGGUUGAUUCCGAUGAUUCAAGUCUUAUGAAUAUCAGUAUAGGCCCUCGAUCUGAGUCACCAAACAAGACUGCCUUUCUGAAUGGGCUCGAGAUUAUGGAGCUUAUAACCAAGGAAUCUGGUUCAUUGCCUGCGCCAAGCAAGCCAAAGAAAACAGUUGUCUUUGUCAUGGCAGGUUGUGUUGUUGGAGUGGCUUUUCUCCUUAUCCUGCUGGGGGUGAUCUUGAAAUGCAGGAAAGCAAACUCUGUUGAAAGUGGAGAGUGGUCUAUGCUUCUUUAUGGAGGGAGAUACUUCAGUUGGAUAACUGGAACUGGAAGAGCUGUCGAAACCUCCUCUGUUUCCAGCUUAAACCUGGGGUUAAAAAUACCCUUUUCUGAAAUCCUGCAUGCAACUCAUCGCUUUGACAAAAAAUCAAUGAUUGGUAAGGGUGGGUUCGGGAAAGUUUAUAGAGGAACACUUCGGGAUGGGAAGAAAGUGGCUGUCAAACGAAGUCAACCAGGGCGAGGCCAGGGCUUGUACGAAUUUCAAACUGAAAUCAUAGUCUUAAACAAAAUUCGCCACCGCCACCUUGUUUCCUUGAUUGGAUAUUGUGAUGAGAUGCAUGAGAUGAUACUGGUUUAUGAAUUCAUGGAAAACGGGACUCUAAGAGACCGUCUAUACAAUUGGAAUAAGGAUUGCACCAUAUCAACUCCCCGUUCACAACUGUCUUGGGAGCAAAGGCUUGAGAUUUGCAUUGGUUCGGCAUGGGGUCUUGAUUAUCUUCACAGUGAUUCCGGGAUCAUUCACCGUGAUGUUAAGUCUACAAAUAUCUUGCUUGAUGAGAAUUAUGUGGCUAAAGUUGCUGAUUUCGGUCUUUCAAAAUCCAGCGGUACAGAUCAAACUCAUGUCAGUACGGAUGUGAAAGGCAGUCCUGGUUACCUUGAUCCUGAAUAUUUCAGAUGCAUGCAGUUAACAGAUAAAUCGGAUGUAUACUCCUUCGGAGUAGUUCUCCUGGAAGUGCUUUGCGCUAGGCCAGCUAUUAAAAGCUCAGUUCCCAGUGAGGAAACGAAUUUGGCUGAAUGGGCGAUGUCAUGGCAAAAGAAAGGAGAGCUUGAAAAAAUUGUGGAUCCUUUUCUCGUGGGUAAAAUCAAUCCUAACUCAUUGCGUAAGUUUGGUGAAACGGCAGAGAAGUGUUUGAAAGACUCUGGUACCGAAAGGCCUACCAUGCGCGAUGUCUUAUGGGACUUGAAAUAUGCACUUGUUCUGCAACAAGCUACAACGCUGGAAGAAGGAUAUGCGGACAGCACAACAGAUGCUUUUUCGGAGAUGCCACUGCUUGGUGUUCAGUCCUUGCCUUCUUCUAGCUUUCCUCUAAUGGAGAAAGAUGAUGUAGCCAGGGAAAAUGAUGAUGGUUCAGACCCAACUCCUAGUGACGUGUUUUCCCAAUUGAGGAUUAUUGGUGCCAGAUAAUGUCAACUGGUGCGAGGUCUGGUUGUGUGCCUUCACCUUCCUGAUCGAGUGCUUUUGUUGCUUUUGAAAUAUGUGGGACUUGAAAUAUAUAUGUACUUGAUCUGCAGCGUGCUACAAUGCCGAGAGAAGGAUAUGCGGACAGCAUAACAGAUGCUUCUUUCGAGUACUUGCCACUGUUUGGUGUUCUGUACUUGGCUUCUCCCAGUCCUAGCUUUCUUCUAAUUGAGGAAGAGGAAGCCUCCAUAGAAGGUGAUAAUGGUUCAGAACCAACUGCUAAGUGAAGUAUCCUCCCAAUUGAGGGUUGGUGGUGACAGAUAAUCUUAUUAACUCGUCUGAUAUCUACUUGUGUGGCCUCACUUCUUUGGCUUCUAUCUAAUACUAAAUUUAUGGUCCUGAUUCAUUGUUCCCAUCAGCCUCACUUCUAGCACCGCAUUCGUCAUCAGAUGAUUGCAAAAUUAGGAGAUUUGCUGCACCAUGUGGCACAAUAUUACUAAUCAAUGCAUGGGCUAUAUCUUUUCAGUCCAAGAAGUAUAAAACUGCGGGGAGUGAGACAUACAAGCUUGUGCCUUUUGGAGUGGAAAGAAGGGCAUGCCCUGGGGCUGGCCUAGCCAAACAAGUGAUGGGUUUGGCUCUGGAAUCAAUGAUUCAGAGUUUUGAAGAGAAUAGACGAGCACGAAAUUGCCAUGGUCGAGGGACAAGGGCUCACAAUGCCCAAGGUGGAACCUCUGGAAUUUAUAUUAAAGGGACAUUACUGUUCUAUCCGAGGCUUUGAACGGUAUCUGAGCAACUUUGGUGGCUAUUGUACAAAUAUUUUUUGUUACCAUAAAUGCACAUAUGUAUACAUUGUUUUAUUGUUUCUGUUCUCUUGGUAUUGAUGAAGCAGGGAAGGUUGCCUUGAUCAUUCAUGGAACUUUCAAAAUUCUUCAUAUAAUGAAGUAAUUCUAACAUAUUCUUGGUAUGGUGUGCCCGGAAAACAGAGUACUGCCUUCUGCUAUAUUGGUUUGUUUUGGGGAGGGGGCAGCAGAGGCAUUGAGAUUCUUCAGAUGUUCAUUAAGGAGAUGAGCAACCAGAUGCCAAGUAUUUGAACCAAAUUUAGCCGUGAUUUGCAUGGGCGAGGAGCAGGGAGUUUGAUGAGAUGUGGAUAACGAGGGGGGAUUAAUAAUAUCAAGUACCUGUAUUUUCAUAUGUAUACAAGCCAACUGCAAGUCAAAGUCUUGCUUUUAUGUUUGUAUUCAUUUGACUUUUCAAAAACAGGAAAUCUACAUGAUUGCCUCUCAAUUUAUUUUCAUCCUUGGAUGCUGAUAAACUUUGCUUCUGCUGGGAAGAGUCGGCAGUGGUUACUGAUGUCCAUGGAUAAGCUUCACCACCACAAAGUUAUUUUGACUCUCCUCCUCCUCAUCCACUCAUCAGAUUACGCUCUUACAGACAUGUAUCUCAUCAACUGUGGUUCAAUCUCUGAUACUGCAAUCAGCAAUCAGCACUUCGUGGGAGAUGUGGACUCCGGCUCAUCCGACUUUUUGGUAGGAGAAAGCAGUCGGGUCGUUGAUGACAACCCAGCACCAGGGACACCUUUUCUCUAUAGAACAGCUAGAAUUUUCAGAAAACAAUCUUCGUACAGGUUCCAAAUCACCCAAAAUGGCACCUACGUGGUACGCUUUCACUUCUACCCUUUCUCGACUCCAACAAAUCUUGCCGACGCUCUCUUCAAUGUUUCCGCUAAUGGGUUUUCAUUGCUGUCCAAUUUCAGUGUCCAGAACACUAGUAACCCUCCUGUAAUUAAGGAAUUCGCAAUCCCCAUAGAGGUGGGAGAAUUCAUGAUCUACUUCACACCUCAAAAAUCAUUUUUUGCUUUUGUAAACGCCAUAGAAGCCUUUAUUGCUCCGGAACGUUUCAUUUCAGAUGGAGUUAAUCACGUUACUCCCGUAGGGCUUAAAGGCACUUACAAUGGUUUGUUAUCUCGGGCUUUUCAUAUAAUCCAUAGGAUUAACGUUGGAGGCUUCACAAUCACACCAAGUAAUGAUCUACUGUGGAGAAGUUGGACACCAGAUGAUGACUAUCUAUUUCUCCCAAAUUCUGCAAAUAACAUUGAGUUCUACGGUGAGCUUAAUUCCACGGCAGCUGCUGCAAAGUUGGCCCCAGAUAAUGUCUACAAGACUGCCAAAGAAUUGAACAUAAAUCAUAGCAGGUCAUCAAAUUUUUUCAAUAUGACCUGGGGUUUCGAUGUGAAUAAGAAUUCUACCUACUUCGUGAGGGUGCAUUUCUGUGACAUAAUUAGCCAAGAUGUUGAUGGUAUUGUGUUCAAUUUAUCCAUCUAUAAUCAGUUCAUUGAUAAGAUCUAUCCAUAUAACAUUACUCAUCCAGCAACUCCCUUUCACCGUGAUUAUGUGGUUGAUUCUGAUGAUUCUGGAUAUGUGAAUAUCAGUGUAGGCCCUCGUAGCAAAUCACUGAACCAAACUGCUUUUCUGAAUGGACUUGAGAUCAUGGAGAAGAUCGAGCGAUCUGGUGCAUACCCUGUGCCUAGCAAUCCGAAUAAGACUCUUGAGUCUCCGCCCAGCAAUCCGAAUAAGACCCUUAAGCCUGCGCCAAGCAAGCCAAAGAAGAACUUCAUGUUUGCAAUAGCUGGUUCUGUUGUUGGAGUGGCUUUUGUCCUUAUGUUGAUCGGAGUGUUCAUGAAAUGCAGGAAAGCAAGCCCUGCUGAGACCCGGGGUUGGUCUGUGCUUCUCUAUGGAGGGAGAUCUUUUUGGAAGACAAAUGAUAGAACUGCCAACAACUCCUCUGUUUCUAGUUUAAACCUCGGCUUAAAACUACCCUUUUCUGAAAUACUGCAUGCCACUAAUAACUUCAACCCAAAAGUGAUCGCCGGGGAGGGUGGGUUCGGGAAAGUUUAUAGAGGAACUCUUCGAGAUGGUAAGAAAGUGGCUGUCAAACGAAGUCAACCAGGGCAACGCCAGGGCUUUGCUGAAUUUCAAGCUGAAAUCAAGGUCUUAUCCAAAAUUCGCCACCGCCAUCUGGUUUCCUUGAUUGGAUACUGUGAUGAGAGGCAUGAGAUGAUACUGGUUUAUGAAUUCAUGGAAAACGGGACUCUCAGAGACCAUCUAUACAAUUGGAAUGAGGACUGCACCAUAUCGACUCCCCGAUCACAACUGUCUUGGGAGCAAAGGCUUGAGAUUUGCAUUGGUUCAGCAUGCGGUAUUGAUUACCUUCACACUGGUUCUGAUGGGGGAAUCAUUCACCGGGAUGUUAAAUCAACAAACAUUUUGCUUGAUGAGAAUUAUGUGGCCAAGGUUUCUGAUUUUGGUCUUUCAAAAUCAGGCACUUCGGAUAAAUCCCAUAUCAGUACAAAUGUAAAAGGCAGUUUUGGUUACCUUGAUCCAGAAUAUUUCAGAUGCUUGCAUUUAACGGAUAAAUCAGAUGUAUACUCUUUUGGAGUGGUUCUUCUGGAAGUGCUUUGUGCUAGGCCGGCUAUUAAAAGAUCAGCUCCCAGUGGGGAAAUGAAUUUAGCUGAAUGGGCCAUGUCAUGGCAAAAGAAAGGACAGCUCGAAAAUAUUGUUGAUCCUUUUCUCCUGGGUAAAGUUAAUCCUAACUCAUUGCGGAAAUUCGGAGAAAUGGCAGAGAAGUGUUUGAAAGACUCGGGUGCUGAUAGGCCUAAUAUGUGCAAUGUCCUAUGGGACUUGAAAUAUGCUCUUCAGCUCCAACGAGUUACAAGGCAGAGAGAAGGAUAUGGGGACAGCAUAAUAGAUGCUUCAUUGGAGUUCCCACUGCCUAUUGUUCAGUACUCACCUUCUCCCAGCUUUCUGAUUAAGGAACAUGAUAUCCCCACGGAAAGUGGUGAUGGUUCAGCGCCAACUGCUAGUCAAGUGUUCUCCCAACUGAGAAUUGGUGACGCCAGAUGAUCUCAACUGGUAUGAGGUCUAGUUGUGUGGCUUUACUUUCUUUAGCUUCUCUCUGCUGUUGAAUUUACUUUCCUGAUUAAGUCGUUUCUGUUUCUUCUAAUCCAUUUGCUGCAAAAAGUAUUGAAUAGUUGAAUUCUGCAUAGAUAACUAAACUCUGAACUCGAGAUAGAAAUAAAACGUGAUAUACCCGAAAUACACACUAUAAAAAUGCUCACCUGAAGAAGCAUAGUAGCAUCUGUAAAA
Molecule: long non-coding RNA, 15697 nt
Filed under: Vitis vinifera (wine grape)
Lineage: Eukaryota; Viridiplantae; Streptophyta; Magnoliopsida; Vitales; Vitaceae
Description: long non-coding RNA (VVIN_LNC002257)
Source: RNAcentral